RNAcentral lists this long non-coding RNA (967 nucleotides) under Urocitellus parryii (Arctic ground squirrel). Its description in RNAcentral is "lncRNA (ENSUPAG00010020433.1)". The record is from RNAcentral. Lineage: Eukaryota; Metazoa; Chordata; Mammalia; Rodentia; Sciuridae.
UGUGAGCCCCUUGAUUUCAGAGACAGUCUUUUGUUACUAUAUCCACUGCGUUUAGCAUAGCUCGUAGCACAUAGUAGAGGAAUGACUGGAAUCCAAUUUAUGCAUUAGUUGGAAUUGCUUGAAUUAUGAAGCACAGUCAUUUCACUUUCCUGCUCAAAGGCCUUUAAUAAUUCCCUGUUCCCUACUGAAAAAAMCACAAACUCCUCAAUCCUAACCUUGAAACAUCAUCUAAAAUUUGAUUCCAAUGGAUAAAUUCUUCCAGAUUGUCCCCUUUAAUUUCUAAUAGAUAUCACAAUAGAUCCAAACUGGAUCCUGGGAAUGCCUGAUUGGCCCCAAGCAUUCUCUCAUGCAACUCCACCUUCCAUAUAAGCUGCUCUUCCCCAGCCACUGCUUACCCCAGUAGAAUCCAUCCCAGAAGGAUGCAUGAAUGCAAUCUCCUUAGCAAAAUCCUCUCCUGCUCCUCAAUAAGAUGUGAAUUUCAUUUCUCUUCUUGCACAGCCAAAACCUGCAAGGUGGUUGAGGCAGGAAGUAGGGGUGGCUCUUACCUUGCACGGAACUGGAUAUGAUCCACCCCCCACACCCUGAGAUUGUGCUGCAGGACAAAUUAUGGAAUGGAAGUCUGACUCCUGCUGAGCACCUGUCAGCAUUCAGAGCAGUGGAGCAUUUCUUCUAAAAUGGGACCACAGGGGCUGUGACCUUCAUGUGACAUUGGGCCCCAGCACAUCAAUCUACAGUGGUUGCCUCACUGGGUGCAGCGACGUGUGCCUCUGGACGCAGCUUCUUGGGAGACUGAGCCACGUGGAGCACUUGAUCCCAGGAGAUAAAKGCCAGCCUGGGCAACAUAAUGAGGUCUGUCUCAAAAAUAAUAAUAACUAUUACUAUUAUUAAAAUGGCUGCCUCUCCAUAAAAAGACCAUAAAAGAUACAAUCCCAAUAAAAGGCAAAAUAAAGAUUCUCUAUUUUAAAAG